Musa acuminata subsp. malaccensis (wild Malaysian banana) is the source of this 2004-nucleotide non-coding RNA. The record is from RefSeq and is a predicted model, not a curated record. NCBI's taxonomy places the organism in Eukaryota, Viridiplantae, Streptophyta, Magnoliopsida, Zingiberales, Musaceae.
CGGCGGCGGCGGCGGGGUGCAGGCACUUGCAGUCGACGCAGACUCAGGCCACCAUGUUCUCCCUCCCUCAAACUGUGCUACUCCUUUGAGCUCCUCAGGUGGUCUGCUCCAACUCUUCUCCAUCGUCUUCAUAUUUCCUGAGGAAUCAGAGAUGUUGACGCGUAAUGAUAGGCACUGAUCGCAAUCUAAUGGCAGGGCAUCACCAUCGAGCUGUAUGUAGGUCAACGCUGCAAGUCCUGGUUCGAUGACCAGGCGUUCGUGCUCUCGCUUAAGAUCCAUGGAGGCGGGCCAAGUGGAAGCUCGGUAACGCCGCCCACCUUCUCCCCUUCCCUUCCUCUCCAUGGACUCUCUUCCUUGACCUGUGUGUACACGGCCGGAGCUUCUCCGACGCUCCUUAAACUGAUUUGGCCUCGUCCAACCCCAACUAAAAGGUUGGGAGUGCAGCGACGCCUUUAAAUGCCUCCACGAACGAUACCAGUGGGGUUGGGAUCGUCUCCGAGUGCUGCACAGUCAUCGGGCUGCGCCUCUAGAAAUCCCAAGCCCAGGUACGUGGCAAUGGAUGGUCUUGAUGUGGGGAUCGGACGGCUCCAACCAGAAGCAUGGUUGGAGCGGAGCGGAUCCUAACCGCACAUCAUCCUUGCCGUACACCUCUAAGAAAAAUAUACACCACCACUACAUAAGAAGUGCAAACUUAAUAUUCGCUAUUAGAGUAUACAAAAGUUCUGAGCAAACAGUGUUUGAAAAAAAAAAAGUCUAAACAAAUAAUAAAGAAUUAAAUUAUAUGAAAAUAUUUAAGAGGAAAUAUAUCUAAAGAACAUAUAAUAAUAUAUUCUUUCAAGAAAAAUAUUGGGGUGUCUUAAGUUUCACUAUUUAUCAUUUGGGAGCGUGGAUGACACAUUCAUCCUCGUACAGCUACACCAUUGACUCCCAUGAACUCGUUCGAGUGGGUGAGCAUUCACGAGCAGUUGGUGCCCAACAAGACAACAGCCUGUAGUGUCAUGUGACUUCUACAGCUCACCAGCAGCAACCACUACAAUAAAUUAAGGUCAUUUAAUGUUUGAGGUCAUAACCACUGUGAGUUUAAUGUUGCAGUACAUAUCAGUGAGUCAAGGUGAUCGAUAUUUGACUCGAUGACUUGGCCACAGAGAUAGAUCUUGACAUUGUUAUGUAACAAUGUCUUGCCACCCACGAAGGCAUCACGGACAAAUCAUGAAACUUUAGAUCGAUGUGUUUUGCUGUGUGUUUUCUGGAUUGAUAUUUGAUACAUUAUAUAUCUUCCUAAAUGUUAGGCAUUUAAGAUCACAGUUACGUUUGCAUGUUUGCUGUCACCUACCUACAGAAGAUGAGCCUCGGGACUUGGCAUUGAAGCUUUUCUGUAGAGUCUACGAGGUUUGAUUGCAACAAAGGGGAUCUCAGGUUCAAUGGAAUUGAAUUUGAUCGGGUGUGGCAUUGGGCGAUUAUGAGAGCCUUCCUGCUGCAAACGCUCAGGCAUUUCCAGAUGCUAAUGCUAUCCUUUCUUCCUCAAACAGAUAAGAAGAGACAGGACUUCUGCUCAUGCCAAAUAUCAUCGACAUCUUCGCUUCAUCAAAUCACUGAUACAAGCAAGUUCCCCAGGUCUUCCUGAUCUGCCUACCGAGAAAUCUUUGCAGUCCAAAGAAGACCAUCAUCACAUCCAUCCAUUGACAGAACAUGGCAGCAACAGGAUCCCCGAGGUUGUAGACUGCUGCAAAGUCUCUUGUGCUGAAGUUUUGCCUCCAUCCCGGUGCAUAGAUUGUUUGCCGGACGGAUUGCCGGAACAGCACAAACACAAAGCGAUGGAUUCCAGAGAUGGGUCGGGGACUCUCAUAGAUACUCUCUCUUGGUUGGAGUGCUGGGGCUUGGUGCAUCAGGGUCCACCAUCACCUGAUCACAUACCCCCAUCAUGGUUAGCUCAGGCAUUAAGAGGGCUACUUAGUCAGAUGCAACUGAAAGAUGAUCAAACACGACAAAAGCAUUAAGAAGUCG